Molecule: long non-coding RNA, 314 nt
Organism: Schistocerca americana (American grasshopper)
Lineage: Eukaryota; Metazoa; Arthropoda; Insecta; Orthoptera; Acrididae
Exons: 2
Source: RefSeq, a predicted model, not a curated record
UGCAACACCAAGAAACGGAAACUAGUGUGAAGUAAACGAAGUACAUAGUUGCCAAGUACGUGCCACUGCAGUCCAUGCUGCAGUCAUCAUGGGCUGCCAUUGACAAUGCCUGCUGGUAUAGCAGCUUUUCUUUGCUGCUCCACUGGAUCCACAUGCUGCUGCCAGUCGACACUGCCGUCAUUGUCACUGCUCCUGCCUGAUCAUGUUGCAGCCAUUGGGUCAUACGAAUAAAACAAAGAAUAUGCUUUAUACUCAAAAUUUUGGUGAACAUUGUCAUGUUCGCAAGAAUAAAGCGAAUCAGAUAAUAUGCUUCA